AGCGAACGCUGGCGGCAGGCUUAACACAUGCAAGUCGAGCGGGCAUCCUUGUGGUGUCAGCGGCAGACGGGUGAGUAACGCGUGGGAACGUGCCCUUCGGUUCGGAAUAACUCAGGGAAACUUGAGCUAAUACCGGAUACGUGCGAGAGCAGAAAGGUUUAUCUGCCGAAGGAUCGGCCCGCGUCUGAUUAGCUAGUUGGUGAGGUUACGGCUCACCAAGGCGACGAUCAGUAGCUGGUCUGAGAGGAUGAUCAGCCACACUGGGACUGAGACACGGCCCAGACUCCUACGGGAGGCAGCAGUGGGGAAUAUUGGACAAUGGGGGCAACCCUGAUCCAGCCAUGCAGCGUGAGUGAUGACGGCCUUAGGGUUGUAAAGCUCUUCUCUCCGGGACGAUAAUGACGGUACCGGAGGAAUAAGCCCCGGCUAACUUCGUG
RNAcentral lists this ribosomal RNA (437 nucleotides) under uncultured bacterium. RNAcentral's name for it is "partial 16S ribosomal RNA". It matches the Rfam family "Bacterial small subunit ribosomal RNA", at positions 29 to 507 of the family's 1533-position model. The record is from RNAcentral.